UAAAACACAUAUUCAUGAGUCAC
RNAcentral lists this non-coding RNA (23 nucleotides) under Arabidopsis thaliana (thale cress). The record is from RNAcentral. Lineage: Eukaryota; Viridiplantae; Streptophyta; Magnoliopsida; Brassicales; Brassicaceae.